This 301-nucleotide ribosomal RNA is filed under the name uncultured bacterium. Its description in RNAcentral is "partial 16S ribosomal RNA". It matches the Rfam family "Bacterial small subunit ribosomal RNA", at positions 509 to 809 of the family's 1533-position model. The record is from RNAcentral.
CAGCAGCCGCGGUAAUACGGAGGGAGCUAGCGUUGUUCGGAAUUACUGGGCGUAAAGCGCACGUAGGCGGCUUUGUAAGUUAGAGGUGAAAGCCCGGGGCUCAACCCCGGAAUUGCCUUUGAUACUGCAUGGCUUGAAUCCGGGAGAGGUGAGUGGAAUUCCGAGUGUAGAGGUGAAAUUCGUAGAUAUUCGGAGGAACACCAGUGGCGAAGGCGGCUCACUGGUCCAUUACUGACGCUGAGGUGCGAAAGCGUGGGGAGCAAACAGGAUUAGAUACCCCAGUAGUCCCUGUCUCUUAUAA